UCAAGCUAAUAAGAGCACAGGGUGGAUGCCCAGGCACCAAACGCCGAUGAAAGACGUGGCAAGCUGCGAAAAGUCACGGGGAACCGCAAGCAGGUAUUGAUCCGUGAACGUCUGAAUGGGGAAACCCGGCGGGUUAACAGCCCGUCACUAUUAACUGAAUCAAUAGGUUAAUAGGGGGAACGCGGGGAACUGAAACAUCUCAGUACCCGUAGGAAGAGAAAAUAAAGAAUGAUUUCCUAAGUAGCGGCGAGCGAACGGGAAAGAGGCCAAACCGAAGGGCUUGCUCUUCGGGGUUGUGGAUCAGCAAUAAGGACGAGAGACCUUAGCAGAAGAGGAUUGGAAAGUCCCGCCAGAGAGGGUAAAAGCCCCUUACGCGAAAAGGUCAAACGACGAGCUGACACCAGAGUACCGCAGGACACGAGAAAUCCGGUGGGAAGCCGGGAGGACCACCUCCCAAGCCUAAAUACGAAUUGGUGACCGAUAGCGCAUAGUACCGUGAGGGAAAGGUGAAAAGAACCCCGGGAGGGGAGUGAAAAAGAACCUGAAACCCUGUGUUUACAAGCAGUGAAAGUGCAAGUUAGGCACGAUCACGUACUUUUUGUAGAACGGACCGGCGAGUUACGUUAUGCAGCAAGGUUAAGAACUGAAGGUUCGGAGCCGAAGCGAAAGCGAGUCUGAAUAGGGCGAUAGUUGCAUGACGUAGACCCGAAACCGGGUGACCUAUCCAUGAGCAGGUUGAAGUGGAGGUAAAGCUCCAUGGAGGACCGAACCAGACGUCUGUUGAAAAAGGCGGGGAUGACUUGUGGAUAGGGGAGAAAUUCCAAUCGAACCCGGAGAUAGCUGGUUCUCCUCGAAAUAGCUUUAGGGCUAGCCUCAUGGAUCAUUGAUGGGGGUAGAGCACUGAAUGUGCGCGGGGGCCACAAAGCCUACCAAACGCUAUCAAACUUCGAAUACCAUACAAUGCAGACCAUGGGAGUCAGUCCGCGAGAGAUAAGUUCCGCGGGCAAAAGGGGAACACCCCAGAUCAACCGCUAAGGUCCCCAAGUUCACGUUAAGUGGAGAAGGAUGUGGAAUUGCACAGACAACCAGGAUGUUGGCUCAGAAGCAGCCACACAUUUAAAGAGUGCGUAAUAGCUCACUGGUCGAGUGAUUGUGCGCCGAAGAUGUCCGGGGCUAAACGUGACACCGAAGCGAUGGGUGCAUCUGAAAGGAUGCGCGGUAGAGGAGCAAUGUGCAGAGGCAGAAGCCGUAUCGAGAGGCACGGUGGACACUGCACAAGAGAGAAUGCCGGUAUGAGUAGCGAGAGGCAUGCGAGAAACAUGCCCGUCGAAAGCCCAAGGUUUCCUGGGGAAGGUUCAUCCGCCCAGGGUAAGUCGGGGCCUAAGCCGAGGACGGAAGUCGUAGGCGAUGGACAGCAGGUGUAGAUUCCUGCACUACCGAUGGAAUGAAGCAGUGACACAGAAGGAUAACUCGAGCAGGGUGAUGGUCAACCCUGUGCAAGCAUCGAGGUUGGGUUGUAGUGAAGUACGCAACCCUAUAAGCUGAGAUGUGAUGCGGACCGAAAUUUCAGUAGGGAAGCGAGUGAGUUCACGCUGGCGAGAAAAGCUGCUAGUACAUCCAAAGGUACCCGUACCGGAAACCGACGCAGGUGGGCGAGGAGAGAAUCCUGAGACGAACGGGAGAACCCUUGUUAAGGAACUCGGCAAAAUGACCCCGUAACUUCGGGAUAAGGGGUGCCUGCGAGAGCAGGCCGCAGAGAAUAGUCACAAGCGACUGUUUAGCAAAAACACAGGUAUCUGCGAAAGCGAGAGCUGACGUAUAGGUGCUGACACCUGCCCGGUGCUGGAAGGUUAAGGGAACAUGUUAGAGCAAUCGAAGCAUCGAACCGAAGCCCCAGUAAACGGCGGCCGUAACUAUAACGGUCCUAAGGUAGCGAAAUUCCUUGUCGGGUAAGUUCCGACCCGCACGAAAGGCGUAAUGAUUUGAGCGCUGUCUCGACAAUGCAUCCGGUGAAAUUGAAGUACCAGUGAAGAUGCUGGUUACC
RNAcentral lists this ribosomal RNA (2044 nucleotides) under human gut metagenome. Its description in RNAcentral is "bacterial LSU rRNA". It matches the Rfam family "Bacterial large subunit ribosomal RNA", at positions 3 to 2070 of the family's 2925-position model. The record is from RNAcentral.